CUCCCACAAUCCCAAGCUCCGUAGCCUCCCUCCUCGUCAGCGCCGGCCAAGACCACGCACCGCCAGCAGCAAUGGAGACCGUCGCGGCCGCCGGCUACGCGCGCGGGGCCGCCACGCGCUCCCCGGCCUGCUGCGCCGCCAUGUCCUUCUCGCAGUCCUACAGGCCCAAGGUGCGCGAGAGCUACACAUGCUGCCAAGACACUCCUCCUCCUUUUUCCUGACGCCCGACUGGUAAUGUGACGGCAGGCUGCCAGGCCGGCGACCUCGUUCUACGGCGAGUCGCUGCGGGCGAACACGGCGAGGACGUCGUUCCCGGCGGGGAGGCAGUCCAAGGCGGCGAGCCGCGCGGCGCUCACCACCCGGUGCGCUAUCGGCGACAGCCUGGUUCGUGCCGUGCACGCACCCGUCACCACUACAUAGGAGUAUGCUAUAGCUAGCCCCCUGCAUGCGCAGCUCACGGCGUCUGUACAUUUUUGUGCGUAUAUGCGUGUGUGGUGGCAGGAGGAGUUCCUGACCAAGGCGACGCCGGACAAGAAC
Molecule: long non-coding RNA, 537 nt
Filed under: Hordeum vulgare
Lineage: Eukaryota; Viridiplantae; Streptophyta; Magnoliopsida; Poales; Poaceae
Description: long non-coding RNA (HVUL_LNC007832)
Source: RNAcentral